RNAcentral lists this ribosomal RNA (584 nucleotides) under uncultured bacterium. RNAcentral's name for it is "bacterial SSU rRNA". It matches the Rfam family "Bacterial small subunit ribosomal RNA", at positions 338 to 916 of the family's 1533-position model. The record is from RNAcentral.
CCUACGGGAGGCAGCAGUGGGGAAUUUUGGACAAUGGGCGAAAGCCUGAUCCAGCCAUGCCGCGUGCAGGAUGAAGGCCUUCGGGUUGUAAACUGCUUUUGUACGGAACGAAAAGACUCUGGUUAAUACCUGGGGUCCAUGACGGUACCGUAAGAAUAAGCACCGGCUAACUACGUGCCAGCAGCCGCGGUAAUACGUAGGGUGCGAGCGUUAAUCGGAAUUACUGGGCGUAAAGCGUGCGCAGGCGGUUAUAUAAGACAGAUGUGAAAUCCCCGGGCUCAACCUGGGAACUGCAUUUGUGACUGUAUAGCUAGAGUACGGCAGAGGGGGAUGGAAUUCCGCGUGUAGCAGUGAAAUGCGUAGAUAUGCGGAGGAACACCGAUGGCGAAGGCAAUCCCCUGGGCCUGUACUGACGCUCAUGCACGAAAGCGUGGGGAGCAAACAGGAUUAGAUACCCUGGUAGUCCACGCCCUAAACGAUGUCAACUGGUUGUUGGGUCUUCACUGACUCAGUAACGAAGCUAACGCGUGAAGUUGACCGCCUGGGGAGUCGGCCGCAAGGUUGAAACUCAAAGGAAUUGACGG